RNAcentral lists this ribosomal RNA (516 nucleotides) under uncultured bacterium. RNAcentral's name for it is "bacterial SSU rRNA". It matches the Rfam family "Bacterial small subunit ribosomal RNA", at positions 29 to 518 of the family's 1533-position model. The record is from RNAcentral.
ACGAACGCUGGCGGCGUGCCUAAUACAUGCAAGUCGAACGGUCUUUCUAUGGAAGCUUGCUUCCACUGAGAAGAUAGUGGCGAACGGGUGAGUAACACGUGGGUAACCUGCCCAUAAGAGGGGGAUAACAUCCGGAAACGGGUGCUAAUACCGCAUAGUUUUCUUGAUCGCAUGAUUGAGAAAGGAAAGACGGCCUUUGUGCUGUCGCUUAUGGAUGGACCCGCGGCGUAUUAGUUAGUUGGUGAGGUAACGGCUCACCAAGACGAUGAUACGUAGCCGACCUGAGAGGGUGAUCGGCCACAUUGGGACUGAGACACGGCCCAAACUCCUACGGGAGGCAGCAGUAGGGAAUCUUCCGCAAUGGACGAAAGUCUGACGGAGCAACGCCGCGUGAGUGAAGAAAGGUUUUCGGAUCGUAAAACUCUGUUGUCAGAGAAGAACAAGUUGGAGAGUAACUGCUCCAGCCUUGACGGUAUCUGACCAGAAAGCCACGGCUAACUACGUGCCAGCAGCGGC